Molecule: ribosomal RNA, 771 nt
Filed under: Triticum aestivum (bread wheat)
Lineage: Eukaryota; Viridiplantae; Streptophyta; Magnoliopsida; Poales; Poaceae
Description: partial small subunit ribosomal RNA
Source: RNAcentral
AUGAAGACUCCUCGUCGUGAUUCCUCACCUUACUCGUCGGUUGCUUCAGCUUCUGUCUCGAUAGAUGUGACGCUCCAGUCCGCUCUAGGGGUGCACACAAAGCUGCUAGUAUCUGAUCUUGAUUGCAUGACUUCCUCACAGAUGGAGGAUGCAAUUAAGCCGCUUCGCGAGGUCGCUAACUCCUUGCAAGGCUGGAUGGUGCAUAUUGGGAGCUUUCUAGAGCGCGCGGAGGCUACUCUGCAAAGGUUCCCUCUUGCACAGGCUCCCGUGGUUGAUUCUUCUGUUGGCUUUAUGGAUGAGGUGGUUGCGAAGCUCUUUGGUAGCUUCUCGCCCCGUGUUGGGUCUAGUUCGACGCCCCUUGUGUUGCCGGACUCCGUGGGUGAGGCAUCUGUCGAGGUUGUGUCUUCGGUGCUGCAGAUCAUGCCCGAGUUGCAGGUGUUGUGUGGGGAAGAUGUUUCGCCUGCGUCGAUGGAGCAGCUCAAGUUGGGCUCUCUGCAGGCUUCGAAGGUGGACCAUGUGUCCUCACCACCACCCGUGGAGCCUUGUCAGGCUUCGGACGUGGACUUGGUGCCCUCACCACCACCCGUGGAGCCUUGUCAGGGGUCAGACAACCUACCUCUCAGCAUCAUGGAGCACGGAGUUUUUGAUGUUGCUGCCCUUCCCUCGUCUGCGACCACCGGGCAAGUGAUGCCUUUGAGUGGCAUGACCAUUGAGCCACUUGUGUUGGCACCUACUCCAAAUCUAAAUGAUCUUUUCGUGAAGGAAAUAUGA